This 633-nucleotide long non-coding RNA is filed under the name Mytilus galloprovincialis (Mediterranean mussel). Lineage: Eukaryota; Metazoa; Mollusca; Bivalvia; Mytilida; Mytilidae. The record is from RNAcentral.
GCUCUUGUUGGAAUCCGACAAGGUGCCAAUUCAGCAGGGCCAAGCAUAAUCGUUUAGGUGGAAUAGCUAUCCUCUUUAAACGGCCGACGGUAUGUUUUUCCAAACAUUCAUUCCCGCCGAAUUGUAUUCUUCUAAAUAACACCAAAAUAUGUGCACGACGAACGAACAACUGUCGUACGACACACAAUCAAUGUUGUGCUAGCAUCGUACGAAAUUUGGUGUUCUUGAGAUAAUCGUGCGACUGUAUUACGAGUGUCUUGCGACAGUCGUGAGAUUGUCGAACGACAGUCGUGCGACGAUUGUUUUAUUUAAAUUGUUUAUGUUAGUACCCACGACAAUUUUUGUAUCGUACAACAGUCGCACGACUGUGGUAAGACACUCUCACGACAGCCACAUGACAGUGACACGACUUUGUCGUAAAGCUAAAAAGGUGCAUGUCAAAUUUUCGUCCCACGACACACGACAGCGCCACAAUGCUCAAAAUAUCGUGCAAAUGUCGUGCGAUUGUCGUACAACGAUCACAGAUGACCCGCGAUUUGAACAAAUUUCAUGUCGUGGCGCUUCAUAGAUGUGUCGUAGGUUCGUGGUGACCAGGGCUUAACAUCUAAAAAUCUUCUCCUGUGAAACUAUUGU